GCUGCAGUCGAGAUCUUUCGCAAUGGGCGAAAGCCUGACGAAGCGACGCCGUGUGAGCGAAGAAGGCCUUCGGGUUGUAAAGCUCUUUCGCUAGGGAACAAGAAAGUCCGACGAAUAAUCGGAUGAUUUGAUGGUACUUGGUAAAGAAGCACCGGCUAACUCC
This 163-nucleotide ribosomal RNA is filed under the name uncultured Chlamydiales bacterium. Its description in RNAcentral is "partial 16S ribosomal RNA". It matches the Rfam family "Bacterial small subunit ribosomal RNA", at positions 348 to 504 of the family's 1533-position model. Lineage: Bacteria; Pseudomonadati; Chlamydiota; Chlamydiia; Chlamydiales. The record is from RNAcentral.